RNAcentral lists this long non-coding RNA (224 nucleotides) under Elaeis guineensis (African oil palm). Its description in RNAcentral is "long non-coding RNA (EGUI_LNC018954)". The record is from RNAcentral. Lineage: Eukaryota; Viridiplantae; Streptophyta; Magnoliopsida; Arecales; Arecaceae.
GAUCGAAUUGAGGUCACUGAACUUUAUAAAGCUGAUUUCUAUGAUCUAAUUCUCCCUGAAGCUGGGCGUCAGAAGGACCAACAGAACCGAAUCGACAAAUCCUCUCAUUUCAUGUGCGCAGGGUUGACACCAAAGGCUCCACUUUUCAUCGAGAGCCCGAAGACCUAGAGAUUCUACCUUUCGAAAGGCUAAGGGCUCCUCCUUUUGGUAGGAGGGUUCAGGGC